CACUUCUCAACAAAUGCCAUAAAUUUUACAUGAAAAUUGUGCAUUCCAAAACUAAUUACAAUGUAGUUGAGAAGAUUAAAGGUUACAACAACAAAUCAAACCUUAUUCCUAAUAAAUUUGGGGUCGGCUGAAGAUUAAAAACUAAAUGGAACAAAAUUUACAGUAUUAUAGAUAUACCAACAUUUCAAAUUUAUUUAAUUCAAAUUUCUGUCAUCAAAAGAAGUAGGCAAACCUUUAAGUACAUCCCUCAGAGCAUAAAGGUGACUAUCACAUUUGUGGUCUGAAAUUAUGUUGCUUGAAAGCGAUAUCCUCUGAAAAUGUUCACCUGGUUGUCUCUUGCACAGUGUGAAAUAUUCCACACUUUUGUCGUGGCUUUUGGCAACAACGUCCCUCUUCAAAUAAUAGAGAGUUCCAGGUACAUAUAACUCAGCUACUUCACAAGCAGUUUUAUCACGUUUUAAAAUAUCACAGCCUACGCCUGCUGGAUUAGAAGUUUGAGGAAUGCUUUGAACCACUUCAACUUCCCUCUUUGCGGGCAACUCUAUAUAAUAUUAAGGAAAUUCAAGGUUAGAAUUCUCAAGUUUAUCAAGACUUCAAUUAAUAAAUGAAGAAAAAAGAAAUUUUAGCGACAAUCGAUAACUGACACUCAACUCUAGAAGACCAAACAAGAACUAGAAGUUCUAAAAAUUACACAUUUACUUUACUGAAUAUCGGUGUUGAACCUAUUGAUUUAAAAGUUUAAGCUCUUAGAUAGGACCGCAUGUAUAUCUUUUAAAUCAUGUGUUCAACAAACCGUCCGCAUUCACAAUCCAUUAAAGGUGGCAUUCAGACAAGAAACGAAGAUCUUUGCAUUAUCUAAUACCAUGCUGAAGCACUUAUCUAAAAGCUAUAAAGGGUAAAUAGUCAAGUAGUCGAACUAAUGUUGAAUUGGUAGUAAAAAUUAAAU
This 946-nucleotide long non-coding RNA is filed under the name Olea europaea subsp. europaea. Lineage: Eukaryota; Viridiplantae; Streptophyta; Magnoliopsida; Lamiales; Oleaceae. The record is from RNAcentral.